This 447-nucleotide ribosomal RNA is filed under the name uncultured bacterium. Its description in RNAcentral is "bacterial SSU rRNA". It matches the Rfam family "Bacterial small subunit ribosomal RNA", at positions 355 to 825 of the family's 1533-position model. The record is from RNAcentral.
UGGGGAAUAUUGGACAAUGGGCGAAAGCCUGAUCCAGCCAUGCCGCGUGGAUGAUGAAGGCCUUAGGGUUGUAAAGUCCUUUCGGCGGGGAAGAUAAUGACGGUACCCGCAGAAGAAGCCCCGGCUAACUUCGUGCCAGCAGCCGCGGUAAUACGAAGGGGGCUAGCGUUGCUCGGAAUCACUGGGCGUAAAGCGCACGUAGGCGGCUUCUUAAGUCAGGGGUGAAAUCCUGGAGCUCAACUCCAGAACUGCCUCUGAUACUGAGGCGCUUGAGUCCGGGAGAGGUGAGUGGAACUCCGAGUGUAGAGGUGAAAUUCGUAGAUAUUCGGAAGAACACCAGUGGCGAAGGCGACUGACUGGACAAGUAUUGACGCUGAGGUACGAAGGCGUGGGGAGCAAACAGGAUUAGAUACCCCGGUAGUCCCUGAGCGGGCUGGCAAGGCGCAU